This 461-nucleotide ribosomal RNA is filed under the name uncultured bacterium. RNAcentral describes it as "partial 16S ribosomal RNA". It matches the Rfam family "Bacterial small subunit ribosomal RNA", at positions 338 to 795 of the family's 1533-position model. The record is from RNAcentral.
CCUACGGGUGGCAGCAGUGAGGAAUAUUGGUCAAUGGGCUUACGCCUGAACCAGCCAAGUCGCGUGAAUGAAGACUGCCCUAUGGGUUUUAAGUCUCUUCUGUCAGGGAGCAAUUGGCGCUACUUGUAACGUUAUCAAGAGUACCUACAGAAAAAGCAUCGGCUAACUCCGUGCCAGCCGGCGCCGUCAUACGUAGGAUGCGAGCGUUAUCCGGAUUUAUUUGGUUUAACGGGUGCGUAGGUUGUUGUUUAAGUCAGCGGUGAAAGUUUGUGGCUUAACCAUGCAAUUGCAGUUGAUACUGGACGACUUGAGUGUGUGUGAGGGAGGCAGAAUGCGUGGUGUAGCGGUGAAAUGCGUAGAGAUCAGGCAGAAUACCGAUUGCGAAGGCAGCUUACUAGGCAAUAACUGACACUGAGGCACGAAAGCGUGGGGAGCAAACAGGAUUAGAUACCCGAGUAGUC